GUAGACCGGUUCUCCUCUGGAGCACAUGGCCAGCAGCUGGAUCAGCUUCGGGUGAUGGAGGCUCUUCAACGCCUGGACCUCCUUCACAAACUCGUCCUGCUUCGUGUCCUCUGGAGGAGCAGAAACAGAAUUAUUGAUCAGCUAAAAAUGAUGACAGCGACUGUUCACUGUGGAGGCAAGAGGAUAUCUUUAUGAACCAGAAGAUACUGAAAGGGCUGAGGGGAUGUAGUGCCAAAGGAAAGGUCUGUCUGACAGCAAGGUUUGACACACAUGCAGACAGGUUUCCUUUCUGGUGAUGCAUCGAUCAGCAGCAAGUGUGUGCAUUUAUGUUUAAUGUAGUUGUCUGUGUGAUGAAAGGAUGUGUGUGUGUGUGUGUGUGUGUGUGUGUGUGUGUGUGUGUGUGUGUGUGUGUGUGUGUGUGUGUGUGUGUGUGUGUGUGUGUGUUUCUGCCUCAGUGUGUCCGUGGCCUCAGACUCACAGCUUCCUCUGGAAGGGAAGAGAGAAGAGGGAGGAAUCACUGAGUGGCCUCUGAUGGAGAAGAAGUACUGACUUUAUGUCUUUAAACACACUUUGUUUUAUUAUUUGUGGGGAAAAGCUGCAACUUGAUCUCGUCUUUAAUAUCUGUAAUAUUCCUUUAUCAUUAUUUAAUUGUAAUGUGAAGAAUGGGCACGCUGCUGUUUAAAUAGUCGGGUUCACAUUGCAGUGAAAAGUCUCCAGAUACUGAGAGAACCUCAGCGAGCUGUGCCCUGUCGUCUCCCGCUGGGCUCAAACUGAUGAGCCAUGAAUAAAGAAUAGAGCUCGCUGGGGGUUUAAUUUAAGCUGCAGUGCAGAGAUAGCGCGUGUAAUUACAGCACUGCCUCAUGGUUUUAUUCUAAAACUGUUCCAAAUAUUUUAUUCUCUCCUUAAUUACACUCCAAACAUGUUUGUCUCUCGGUAUUAAUUCAUGCACAUAAAGAAUAAGACAGCACUCAUUAAAUUCUGCUGCAGUGCAACAAUAGAAAGAUUAAUUCAAAAUCUUUGUCGCACUUUGUUUCAGAUUCUUACUGCAAAGACAAAAGCUGCUCAGAUUAAAAAAAAAGAUACUGAAACAUUCUGGAUUUAAAGUGGACCUUUUGCUGCCUGGAAUUUAACUUGCAUUAUCAGCAUCAAUGGGAACUGUUAUGAGUCAUUAGUAGCUGCUGGUGUUCAUUUAGAAAUACUACAAAAGCAAAUUUAUGUUAGCUGAAGGGCAGAUCCAGUUGAAUAGAUUUUUUUUCACACAACUUCAGCUAUUGGUAAGGAGCAGAGAGAAUUACUGUAUAAUGGAGUAUUAAUACGCAGGCCUUUGUUUUGCAUGUGUACAGUAACUGUCGACAUUAUUGAAAAGUUAAAUAUACAAGUAUCCCUUAAAAUGAUUAUCUGUGAAAUUGCUCCGCCUGUUGUCCUGUUUAUGGAUAUUUGAAGUAGUGACCAUUUUUAUGUGAAACAUAAGGAGCUUUCAGUUCUUGUUGAUUCUGGCGACCCCUGAGGACAAACGCGGUAGUGUUCCCACCAUCUCAUUUUGUUGAUUUAAAAAGGGGAAUCCAACCCAGUGGCAGGCAUCAAGAAUAACUAUACAGAAUCUUAUCACUGAUGGUUUGUUAAUGUAGGUCAUAGAGGCAUCAGUAUUGAACGGAGAUCGCUGUGAGUCACCGUCAGCUGGCUAAAAAAAACUGGAGGCUAUAUAAAAGGUUGCUGUUGCUCUUAAAACACUAUUGGUGAGUCAAAUUUCUUAAAACUGCUUUGUAACCACAGUUCAAGGUGUUUGAGGAUGUCAGAGUCCAAGUGAGUGAGUAGUCAUGACAGACUAAACAUUACAAAACCUGUAGGACUGUAUGCCGUCGAGUUAGACAGCUUUUUCAAGUCGAGCCAUGUGAGGAUAUUCAGUUAUACCGAUAAUGGAAAUUCACCCCCAUGAAAUGUGUUUUUAUCGUGAUACGUGAUAAUAUUGUACAUCUUCCCAUCCCUUGUCCAGACUCACAAAGAUUUCAUAUUUGAAAUUUAACUUGGUUCUCACUGAAGAGUUAUUUGUUUGUCGUUUUUUAUGGUAACAUUAAUAACCCUUUCAUGUUCACGUUCCAUGAUGUUCAGCUGAGCCUCUGUUACAGGUAAAUACUGGCUCACUCAUUUAGAACUGGAAACACAUUUAAUGUAAUUAACAGAUAAAAUAACUGAUUUAUGUAUUUGUCAGCAAAUAUAACUCCUCCUAUGAAGAUCUGUAAGUGUAUAAACAGAUAAUUAUAAUGAAGUAAAACACAGUUGUACUGAUUUAAGAAGUUAUAACUGUUGACAAAUACUGUACCUUUAAAAAAAAAACUAUAGCUGCUUACAACUCCAUUAUAGGUAUGUUAUAAACCAUUUAUUAAACAUGUAGAGUUCUUAAUGCUAAAGUUAAAACUCUGCAAAUACAGUUCCAAAAUUAACCAAAACACAAAAAAUAUGAUAAAUUAAACAGAGCCACAGCCUUAAAUGAUGAGCUCUAAAGUAUCCUGAUAGAAGAAUAUAAUGUGUAUAAUUUUCCAUUUUAACUGCAUCAUGGCUUACAUGAAGAACAGUAAAAUGUCUAUUUUAGCUUCUGUGAUUUUGUUACUAUUUGGUAAAAUACUGCAUGUGUUUAUUAAAAUUGUGUAUUAUAUAUUUCUACUGAAUCAUAUUUCAGAUGUUGUAUAUUCAUGUCACUUUUGGGGCAUCAAAUGUGGUCACAAUGGGUCAAAAUUGCUUGCAAGUGCUUAUUGUGCUGCUGUCACUUAAUUUCUCAAUUCUGACAAACUCUUGCCCUAUAAAUGUCAUAUACGUAUAAUGCAUGUAUUGUAAAGACAGUUCUGAAGAUUUUAUAGUAGGUGUGUACUGAUUACAACAAAGACAAUUAAAAACUGAUGAUACAUGUCUGUCAUAUGUGCUCUUGUACUUCUAUCCUUGUGUGGACCAACUCCAUUUUUAGACCUUUAAACUGACACUUUUGGAAAGUGAGGAGAUUGUAUUCGACCAAUAACAAUAAUAAAAAGGUCUCCAGUUGUGAUGAACCUACAGAGAAUCAUCAGUUGAAUCUGCAGCUCCCCUCGGCUUUACAGAGCUUUUUAGUGAGUUUCGGCUCAUUAAAAUCUCUCCGGCUGCAACUUUAACUGUUUUGGUUAAUUUUCGCUCCUCUCUCAGCGUUGUUUUCAGAGAAAAAGCCCACAGUACACUACCAGCUCAGCAGCAAACAGCAGACAGACACAGUAGCUGGGGAACAAAGUGGAGCAUUUUGCAGCCAAAUAGCCAAUAUUUCCCUCAGGAGUUGGUAGAGACUAAACGUUGAGCCAAAAGAGAAUGAAUAUUGGACUUUAUUCAUCUUAUGGCACAAACACAACUCCAAGUUUUUUAUAUAUAAGAUAAUGUUUCUCUGUAACUGCUGCAUGUGGAAAUAAGCAACUGGUGACAAGUUCAACAUAUUAAUCUAAACUUGUUUCUGCUGCCCCGAGUGGUCAAAAUAUGCAUUCUUUUUUUGAGGUUUUUUGGUCACUUAGGUGCACAUUGAAAUGAUCAACUUUUAAAGUUGGUAAUGGUGAACUUGUUAGCAAACAGUUGCUUAUUUACACAUCCGCCAGACAGUUAACAACAUUAACAUUCAGUUAAACUUGUGUUUCUGGCUACCUCACAGGUCUCUUUUUAGCUCUCUUUUGUGCUCCACCCCACUCCUGACGGAAACACCUGGAUCUUCAACGUUGACUUUAUUGUCUCCCAGGGGAGGUUUUUUGCUAAAUGCUCCACUAUAUUCACCAGCUAGUCUCUAACUCUGUCUGUUUGGCGCUGGGCAGGUAACGUACAGCGAGUUUAGGCCGUUUUAGUGCCUGCUGCUGGAGACGAGGUUAAUGAGAAAGACUCUGUAGAUCUCAGGGGGACCGCAAGUCUGGUGAUAAAUCAUAUGAGAAACCCUAAUCCAUAUUACACAUUCCUUUGUGCCAUUGUUGAUAUAAAAUAUUGAUUAGUGCAGCUUUAUGGCUAGAAUGCCUUGUUUAUGUCAAUAGGGGUCCUCACAAGAAUAGAAGUAAAAACAAUCAGUGUUUUUGUGCCUCUCUCUGUGUCCUACCUGCUGGGCGCAGGGCUCCUCCAGCAGCACUCCCAGGCUGCGAGGGUUUUUCUGGUAGUAGGAGAUGAGCUCCCCAAGCGUAGCGAACGAGAGCUUAUCUGACACGAAGUACGCGCCGAUGGUGGAGCGCUGGAUCCGGAAGUGGUACACCUUCCCCUCACUCCGGGCUGUGAGAGAGGAAGAGGAGUCACUGUGGUCACAUAUCAUAUGUUUAAUACACAGUUCAAAUUGAUUAUUUUACCAUCAGAAUCUGAAAGUGUGUGUGCGUGUGAGAGAGUGUGAGAGAGAAACUUUUGUGCAGAAAAAGGACAGCAGGGAAAAUAUAUUAGUAGUUUUGUUAAGUAGAUCAGUGGAAACAUGCAGAAUGAGAGUAGAUAUCUAAAUAUAACUUCUUUCAAGAGCCUUUCAGUGAUUAUAUUUAAAUCUAGUUCAGACUUUCUACAACCAAAACAUCUAAUGAAAAAAGAUCUAAAUAUUUGCACACUUGGUCUCCAUCGCGAACAUCUAAUUUAUUAUCUAAGAUUGCUCUGAUGAAGGUCUUUGUGAAUCAAAGCUUAGAUAAUAUACUGUCUGUCUGCAAUGGAGUCUACAUUUUCAUUUGCUGUGUUUUGCAUCCAGCACUUUCUUGUUUUGUGCAGUAAUUUCAGUAUAAAUAUCUAGAAACAUAUGCCUUUGUUGCACUCGUCUUAGUUUAACCUAUUUCUGUAUCAAGUGCAUGACAAUAUUUGUGCAACUAGAUAGUGUCCAGGUUCCUUUUCUGUUAUUCUCUCGCUAAUGUUUUCUUUUUUUAUUAUAUUUCUCUUUUUAGUUACUUGUAUGUUCACUUUUAAAGAAAGAACUGUCAAUGUACAGUAAGACCAAUAUGUAAACUAAUACAGAAACACAUUCAUCAUAAAGACCAGCCACUCUCAAUACAUACAAUAGAGAGAAACACGAGCAUCGAGAGCAUCUUUCAACAACAAUGUAAUUCAAAGUGCUGUAUGAAAAGACAAUUAAACACAAUGGGAAGUCGA
This is a long non-coding RNA of Dicentrarchus labrax (European seabass), 5100 nucleotides long. RefSeq lists it as uncharacterized. The record is from RefSeq and is a predicted model, not a curated record. The transcript has 4 exons. Lineage: Eukaryota; Metazoa; Chordata; Actinopteri; Moronidae.